UACGUAGGGGGCUAGCGUUGUUCGGAAUCACUGGGCGUAAAGGGUGCGUAGGCGGGUCUUUAAGUCCGGGGUGAAAUCCUGGAGCUCAACUCCAGAACUGCCUUUGAUACUGAAGAUCUUGAGUUCGGGAGAGGUGAGUGGAACUGCGAGUGUAGAGGUGAAAUUCGUAGAUAUUCGCAAGAACACCAGUGGCGAAGGCGGCUCACUGGCCCGAUACUGACGCUGAGGCACGAAAGCGUGGGGAGCAAACAGG
This 253-nucleotide ribosomal RNA is filed under the name uncultured bacterium. RNAcentral's name for it is "partial 16S ribosomal RNA". It matches the Rfam family "Bacterial small subunit ribosomal RNA", at positions 524 to 776 of the family's 1533-position model. The record is from RNAcentral.